Molecule: ribosomal RNA, 76 nt
Filed under: Sphaerotilus hippei
Lineage: Bacteria; Pseudomonadati; Pseudomonadota; Betaproteobacteria; Burkholderiales; Sphaerotilaceae
Source: RNAcentral
UCCCGAACAGGACAGUGAAACGCCUUCGCGCCGAUGAUAGUGCGCAUUCGCGUGUGAAAGUAGGUCAUCGUCAGGC